AUUCAAGUCAUGUUCAUUUCAAUAUAUUCAAUCAAGUCCAGUCAUUUUCAAUCCAUACAUUCGAUACCAUACAAUAUUAUUCAAUUUCAUUACAAAUAUAAUUUCCAUUCACGAAUUGUUCACUUCAUUACAAGAAUGUCCAUAUUCGUACAAAAAUUUAAAUUUGGCCAACAUUGACUACAAUUGACUUUUGGUCAACAAUUGACUUUUUGGUCAACUAGUUGACCAAAGUCAACCGACCCUCCCUAGACCCCCUAAGACCUAUUUCCAUCUAUCUUGCCUUUAGUCAUCAACAAAAUCCAUGCUUUCCUUUAAUUUCUUCAUGGCCAAGUACCUUGGUCCAUGACCAGGUCAGACCACCAGAUGGACCAGGUCACAAACCACCAAAUGGACUUUGUAGCAGACCAGCACACAUGAAGCAACAACCAUGCCAAACCUUGCCAUUGAGUAAGCUUGCACCAAAAAACCAUCACCAAAUUCCAUACCACUCAUGCUUGCAACAUCAAAGCCAAGAACCAAGACUUACACCAAGUGAGCCCAAGGCCUGAACUUACAACAAACAUCUUGUAUGCAAUACAAGUGGACCUGCAUUAAAACCAAUUGGCCAACAUGCCAAGCCACAUAACAUGAAGCUGACCAAGCAAUGGCAUAAACUUCCAAGCCUUGCAUCAUUCUAAGAAACAAACGUCUUGCCUGCAUACCAAGAGUUAUAGUCAUGAACACAAAACCACAAUUAUCCAAGACCUGCUGCAAACCACAUUAGCCAACCAGACUUUCCAGUCAUGACCUUAUAUCAGACAUUGCACACAACAUGCUUGCAUUAGGCCAUGCAGCAAACCAUUGAUCUUUCAAUAUACCAAAGCAAUAGCAGCCAUGGCAAGUGAACAUGCAACAGUCAAAACCAAGUACAAACCAGAUGCCUGCAACAUGAGGACCAUUGAACUUGUAGCAGUCCAAACAUUACCAAGCUCAUGAAACAUUCAACAGCAACAAAUUCCGAUUAACACAUAACAAAGCAAACACAUCAAUUCACGACUAUCACUAACUAACAUUGCCACCUCACUAAUUGAACCUAAAUGUUGCCAGUUGUAAUGCCUUGAGUUCAGCAAAAUUAAAACAGUUACACAUAACCAACUUGCUUCGAUUUCAGUUGCAUCUAACUUCUGCAACAGAAUUCUAGAAUCCCAAGGUCCUAACACCUUAUAACUAACACAUCAUUUUAACAUUUCACAUUUACUAACAGGAUUUCGAUUUCCCUAACUAACUAGAAUUUGCAUUUACUAACAGGAUUAACAACAUUUCAUUUCAUUCCAAUUUCACUCUUACAUUUUUUUAAUUUCUAACUAACUCAAUGUGAAUUUCAGUUGAAUUUGCAUUUGCAUUUCUAACAUAAAUAUGAGAACCAAAACUCUAUAAUUACCAAUCAUUCUUCA
RNAcentral lists this long non-coding RNA (1433 nucleotides) under Lathyrus oleraceus (garden pea). Its description in RNAcentral is "Pisum sativum (pea) long non-coding RNA (PSAT_LNC026518)". The record is from RNAcentral. Lineage: Eukaryota; Viridiplantae; Streptophyta; Magnoliopsida; Fabales; Fabaceae.